GGUGAUGUUCAGAAGAUAGAAUUAUUAGAGGGUAAUCAGAAUGGAAGAAACUAAGCUCAUUAUGGGAAAUAGAAAACCUUACAAUGGUGAGCAGAUUGUUG
Non-coding RNA from Chiloscyllium plagiosum (whitespotted bambooshark), 101 nucleotides. NCBI's taxonomy places the organism in Eukaryota, Metazoa, Chordata, Chondrichthyes, Orectolobiformes, Hemiscylliidae. The record is from RefSeq and is a predicted model, not a curated record.